This 696-nucleotide long non-coding RNA is filed under the name Citrus sinensis (sweet orange). Its description in RNAcentral is "long non-coding RNA (CSIN_LNC004644)". Lineage: Eukaryota; Viridiplantae; Streptophyta; Magnoliopsida; Sapindales; Rutaceae. The record is from RNAcentral.
AAUCUUAUCUCAAUCUAACUCCAACAACUCUCUCUCCUUAUCUCUUCCAAUCUAAUCCACAACUCUCUCUCUUUCUCUUCAUCUCUUCAUCUCUUCAUCCGAUCUAAUUUACUGAAGUUGCAUUACGUCUCCGUUGCUGCUGCUGUUGCGUUGCGCUUGACGAUCCAUCUUCACUGCUCUGUGCUCUAUCUCUGCUGCUACUGCGCUUUAUAUUUGUUGUUGUUGUUGCUUUAUCUCUGCUGUUGUUGUUGCUCCAUCUUUGCCACUGUCGCUGCUACUUUUGCUCUCUCGGCUCCAUCCAUUAUGUUGUGGUAGCAAAUCACAACAAAACUCAUCUAUGGCAAUGAAUAUGAUAAAGAAAAAAUUGACAAGCAUGAUUUAACCAGAACCAAGAAAACUAUCAUCUGCAGAUUACCUUAAGAAAACGGAACGAUACAGACCACGAUUGUGGAGAUGAUCAACUGAAUGAAGUAACUUGUACUUGUUAAUAGAAUAUGGAACGAAAUUAUAAAAAUAUAUAGCUUAAUUAUAGCAAAGAUGUAUGUUGUUAGUGCUUUUACACCAUAUCUGUAUCAUUUGUUAAAAGUUUUAUCCUAUAUUUUAAUUCAUAUAUGUUGUAAUAUAUAUCUCAAUUACAGUGUAUAAACAAUGACAAUAUAAAACCUUUUUUUUUGUUAAUGUUAAUACUAAUAAUUA